This 337-nucleotide unclassified non-coding RNA is filed under the name soil metagenome. RNAcentral's name for it is "partial contains 5.8S ribosomal RNA, internal transcribed spacer 2, and large subunit ribosomal RNA". The stretch from base 1 to 120 matches the Rfam family "5.8S ribosomal RNA", at positions 35 to 154 of the family's 154-position model. The record is from RNAcentral.
GAUGAAGAACGUAGUGAAAUGCGAUACGUAAUGUGAAUUGCAGAAUUCAGUGAAUCAUCGAGUCUUUGAAUGCACAUUGCGCCCCUUGGUAUUCCAUGGGGCAUGCCUGUUCGAGCGUCAUUUGUACCUUCAAGCUCUGCUUGGUGUUGGGUGUUUGUCUCGCCUCUGCGUGUAGACUCGCCUCAAAACAAUUGGCAGCCGGCGUAUUGAUUUCGGAGCGCAGUACAUCUCGCGCUUUGCACUCAUAACGACGACGUCCAAAAGUACAUUUUUACACUCUUGACCUCGGAUCAGGUAGGGAUACCCGCUGAACUUAAGCAUAUCAAUAAGCGGAGGA